ACAGACUCAGUGGGUCCUGUUCGUUAUGCACCUGUCCUGACUCUUGCACCGUGCCAGGCCCCUUGCAUUCAUUGUAUCUGAUGCUCACAGCAAUCCUGAGAUUACGAGGAAGGUGAAGGUGGUUAAGGGGGUGCCGCUCUGGGAGCAGAAGGCAGCCACUGGGGCAGAUCGGUGGAGCUACGUUACGGAGAUCCGGGAUGGUCAGUGAGGAUGCUGGGCCUCACCUGGUCUCACUGUUUCUACCCCGCCCCCCCCAUCAACUUGAUCUGUUUGCCCCCAAUCCCACCAUUUUGGAUGACAUUAUGGAUCUUCUGAUCUUUAACAAAUCCGUCCAAGAGUGUCUGUUUCUUCUUCUAAGGUGUCACCAGAAAUGAAGAUUCUUUCACCUGAUUUAUUUUUUCUGG
Rhinopithecus roxellana (golden snub-nosed monkey) is the source of this 404-nucleotide long non-coding RNA. RefSeq lists it as uncharacterized. The transcript has 3 exons. Lineage: Eukaryota; Metazoa; Chordata; Mammalia; Primates; Cercopithecidae. The record is from RefSeq and is a predicted model, not a curated record.